This 567-nucleotide ribosomal RNA is filed under the name uncultured marine bacterium. Its description in RNAcentral is "bacterial SSU rRNA". It matches the Rfam family "Bacterial small subunit ribosomal RNA", at positions 97 to 697 of the family's 1533-position model. The record is from RNAcentral.
GGCAGACGGGUGAGUAACAUGUAGGUAUCUGCCCUUUGGCCUGGAAUAACACGAGGAAACUUGUGCUAAUACCGGAUAAGUCUUUACGGAGAAAGCUAUAUGCACCAUUGGAUGAGCCUGCACUUGAUUAGUUUGUUGGUAGGGUAAUGGCCUACCAAGACUGUGAUCAAUAGCUGAUUUGAGAGGAUGAUCAGCCACAUUGGGACUGAGACACGGCCCAAACUCCUACGGGAGGCAGCAGUGGGGAAUCUUGCACAAUGGAGGAAACUCUGAUGCAGCGAUGCCGCGUGAGUGAAGAAGGCCUUUGGGUUGUAAAGCUCUUUCGUCGGGGAAGAAAAUGACUGUACCCGAAUAAGAAGGUCCGGCUAACUUCGUGCCAGCAGCCGCGGUAAUACGAAGGGACCUAGCGUAGUUCGGAAUUACUGGGCUUAAAGAGUUCGUAGGUGGUUGAAAAAGUUGGUGGUGGAAUCCCAGAGCUUAACUCUGGAACUGCCAUCUAAACUUUUCAGCUAGAGUAUGAUAGAGGAAAGCACAAUUUUCUAGUGUAGAGGUGAAAUUCGUAGAUAU